AUUGAACGCUGGCGGCAGGCCUAACACAUGCAAGUCGAACGGUAACAGAAAGCAGCUUGCUGCUUUGCUGACGAGUGGCGGACGGGUGAGUAAUGUCUGGGAAACUGCCUGAUGGAGGGGGAUAACUACUGGAAACGGUAGCUAAUACCGCAUAACGUCGCAAGACCAAAGGGGGGGACCUUCGGGCCUCUUGCCAUCGGAUGUGCCCAGAUGGGAUUAGCUAGUAGGUGGGGUAAAGGCUCACCUAGGCGACGAUCCCUAGCUGGUCUGAGAGGAUGACCAGCCACACUGGAACUGAGACACGGUCCAGACUCCUACGGGAGGCAGCAGUGGGGAAUAUUGCACAAUGGGCGCAAGCCUGAUGCAGCCAUGCCGCGUGUAUGAAGAAGGCCUUCGGGUUGUAAAGUACUUUCAGCGGGGAGGAAGGGAGUAAAGUUAAUACCUUUGCUCAUUGACGUUACCCGCAGAAGAAGCACCGGCUAACUCCGUG
RNAcentral lists this ribosomal RNA (490 nucleotides) under uncultured bacterium. RNAcentral's name for it is "partial 16S ribosomal RNA". It matches the Rfam family "Bacterial small subunit ribosomal RNA", at positions 30 to 507 of the family's 1533-position model. The record is from RNAcentral.